GUUUCAGACCCAUUCCAAUUUAAGUUCAAGGACAGACGGAUCGAAUCUAACCCUCCUAUACCCCGAUUCCAAACUAGUUCACGAACCAGAAUCAUUAACUUGGUCCAAUCUUGAGUUUGACUUGGACAGACCCCAACAUAGUUCAUGUUUAGAAUUUAUCUGUGAACGGGUAGUCUAAUUGAUAAUAUAACAACUCAGUUUUCAUUUUUUCAUUAAUUAGUAUUUAAUUUUAUUAAGAUGAUUUAAAAGUAAUAAUUUUAAAUAUAUUAAACUAAUGUAAAAACAGUCUUACAUUUAUCUAAAAAAAAUUAAUUUUAAUAUAUAUAAAUUGAUAUGAAAAUGC
RNAcentral lists this unclassified non-coding RNA (343 nucleotides) under Hevea brasiliensis (rubber tree). Lineage: Eukaryota; Viridiplantae; Streptophyta; Magnoliopsida; Malpighiales; Euphorbiaceae. The record is from RNAcentral.